This 372-nucleotide ribosomal RNA is filed under the name uncultured bacterium. RNAcentral's name for it is "bacterial SSU rRNA". It matches the Rfam family "Bacterial small subunit ribosomal RNA", at positions 524 to 898 of the family's 1533-position model. The record is from RNAcentral.
UACGGAGGGUGCAAGCGUUAUCCGGAUUCACUGGGUUUAAAGGGUGUGUAGGCGGGUAUUUAAGUCAGUGGUGAAAUCUCCAGGCUCAACCUGGAAACUGCCAUUGAUACUAUUUAUCUUGAAUCUUGUUGAGGUGGGCGGAAUAUAUCAUGUAGCGGUGAAAUGCUUAGAUAUGAUAUAGAACACCGAUUGCGAAGGCAGCUCACUAAACAAGCAUUGACGCUGAGGCACGAAAGCGUGGGGAUCAAACAGGAUUAGAUACCCUGGUAGUCCACGCCCUAAACGAUGAUUACUCGACAUACGCGAUACACAGUGUGUGUCUGAGCGAAAGCAUUAAGUAAUCCACCUGGGAAGUACGUCCGCAAGGAUGAA